This 468-nucleotide ribosomal RNA is filed under the name uncultured bacterium. RNAcentral describes it as "partial 16S ribosomal RNA". It matches the Rfam family "Bacterial small subunit ribosomal RNA", at positions 28 to 507 of the family's 1533-position model. The record is from RNAcentral.
GACGAACGCUGGCGGCGUGCUUAACACAUGCAAGUCGAACGGAAAGGCCCUGCUUUUGCGGGGUGCUCGAGUGGCGAACGGGUGAGUAACACGUGAGUAACCUGCCCUUGACUUUGGGAUAACUUCAGGAAACUGGGGCUAAUACCGGAUAGGAGCUCCUGCUGCAUGGUGGGGGUUGGAAAGUUUCGGCGGUUGGGGAUGGACUCGCGGCUUAUCAGCUUGUUGGUGGGGUAGUGGCUUACCAAGGCUUUGACGGGUAGCCGGCCUGAGAGGGUGACCGGCCACAUUGGGACUAAGAUACGGCCCAGACUCCUACGGGAGGCAGCAGUGGGGAAUAUUGCACAAUGGGCGGAAGCCUGAUGCAGCAACGCCGCGUGCGGGAUGACGGCCUUCGGGUUGUAAACCGCUUUCGCCUGUGACGAAGCGUGAGUGACGGUAAUGGGUAAAGAAGCACCGGCUAACUACGUG